This is a transfer RNA of Felis catus (domestic cat), 85 nucleotides long. It matches the Rfam family "tRNA". Rfam says of the family: Transfer RNA (tRNA) molecules are approximately 80 nucleotides in length. Their secondary structure includes four short double-helical elements and three loops (D, anti-codon, and T loops). The record is from Rfam. NCBI's taxonomy places the organism in Eukaryota, Metazoa, Chordata, Mammalia, Carnivora, Felidae.
GCCUGGGUGGCUCAGUCGGUUGAGCGUCCGACUUCGGCUCAGGUCAUGAUCUCACCGUACGUGGGUUCGAGCCCCGCGUCGGGCU